Molecule: ribosomal RNA, 520 nt
Filed under: uncultured Glomeromycotina
Lineage: Eukaryota; Fungi; Glomeromycota
Description: SSU rRNA
Rfam family: Eukaryotic small subunit ribosomal RNA
Source: RNAcentral
AGCAGCCGCGGUAAUUCCAGCUCCAAUAGCGUAUAUUAAAGUUGUUGCAGUUAAAAAGCUCGUAGUUGAAUUUCGGGAUCAAUUAAUUGGUCGUGCCUAUGGUACGUACUGAUUUUAUUGGUUUCUCCCUUCUGACGAACCAUGAUGUCAUUAAUUUGGUGUCGUGGAGAAUCAGGACUGUUACUUUGAAAAAUUAGGGUGUUUAAAGCAAGCUAACGCUUGAAUACAUUAGCAUGGGAUAAUGAAAUAGGACGUUUGAUCCUAUUUUGUUGGUUUCCAGGAUCGACGUAAUGAUUAAUAGGGAUAGUUGGGGGCAUUAGUAUUCAAUUGUCAGAGGUGAAAUUCUUGGAUUUAUUGAAGACUAAACUGACUGCGAAAGCAUUUGCCAAGGAUGUUUUCAUUAAUCAAGAACGAGAGUUAGGGGAUCGAAGACGAUCAGAUACCGUCGUAGUCUUAACCAUAAACUAUGCCGACUAGGGAUCGGAUGAUGUUAAUUUUCUAGUGACUCAUUCGGCGUACC